GAUGAACGCUAGCGGCGGGCUUAAUACAUGCAAGUCGAGGGGCAGCAUGAAUCUUCGGAUUCGAUGGCGACCGGCGGACGGGUGCGUAACGCGUAGGCAAUCUACCCAUAAAUGAAGGAUAGCCCAGAGAAAUUUGGAUUAACACUUCGUAGUAUACUAUGAUCGCAUGAUCUAAGUAUUAGUUAUGGAUGAGCCUGCGUCUGAUUAGGUAGUUGGUGAGGUAAUAGCUCACCAAGCCUUUGAUCAGUAGGGGUUCUGAGAGGAUGAUCCCCCACACUGGAACUGAGACACGGUCCAGACUCCUACGGGAGGCAGCAGUAAGGAAUCUUGGUCAAUGGACGGAAGUCUGAACCAGCCACGCCGCGUGCUAGAAGAAGGUCCUCAGGAUUGUAAAUAGCUUUUCUACAGGAAGAAUGGCUCCCAUGCGUGGGAGAGGAGACGGUACUGUAGGAAUAAGGACCGGCUAACUACG
This 472-nucleotide ribosomal RNA is filed under the name uncultured Flexibacter sp. RNAcentral describes it as "bacterial SSU rRNA". It matches the Rfam family "Bacterial small subunit ribosomal RNA", at positions 28 to 505 of the family's 1533-position model. Lineage: Bacteria; Pseudomonadati; Bacteroidota; Cytophagia; Cytophagales; Flexibacteraceae. The record is from RNAcentral.